AGAGUUUGAUCCUGGCUCAGAUUGAACGCUGGCGGCAGGCCUAACACAUGCAAGUCGAGCGGUAGAGAGAAGCUUGCUUCUCUUGAGAGCGGCGGACGGGUGAGUAAUGCCUAGGAAUCUGCCUGGUAGUGGGGGAUAACGUUCGGAAACGGACGCUAAUACCGCAUACGUCCUACGGGAGAAAGCAGGGGACCUUCGGGCCUUGCGCUAUCAGAUGAGCCUAGGUCGGAUUAGCUAGUUGGUGAGGUAAUGGCUCACCAAGGCUACGAUCCGUAACUGGUCUGAGAGGAUGAUCAGUCACACUGGAACUGAGACACGGUCCAGACUCCUACGGGAGGCAGCAGUGGGGAAUAUUGGACAAUGGGCGAAAGCCUGAUCCGGCCAUGCCGCGUGUGUGAAGAAGGUCUUCGGAUUGUAAAGCACUUUAAGUUGGGAGGAAGGGCAGUAAAUUAAUACUUUGCUGUUUUGACGUUACCGACAGAAUAAGCACCGGCUAACUCUGUGCCAGCAGCCGCGGUAAUACAGAGGGUGCAAGCGUUAAUCGGAAUUACUGGGCGUAAAGCGCGCGUAGGUGGUUUGUCAAGUUGAAUGUGAAAUCCCCGGGCUCAACCUGGGAACUGCAUCCAAAACUGGCAAGCUAGAGUAUGGUAGAGGGUAGUGGAAUUUCCUGUGUAGCGGUGAAAUGCGUAGAUAUAGGAAGGAACACCAGUGGCGAAGGCGACUACCUAGACUGAUACUGACACUGAGGUGCGAAAGCGUGGGGAGCAAACAGGAUUAGAUACCCUGGUAGUCC
RNAcentral lists this ribosomal RNA (793 nucleotides) under uncultured bacterium. Its description in RNAcentral is "bacterial SSU rRNA". It matches the Rfam family "Bacterial small subunit ribosomal RNA", at positions 8 to 796 of the family's 1533-position model. The record is from RNAcentral.